CCUACGGGUGGCAGCAGUGGGGAAUAUUGCACAAUGGGGGAAACCCUGAUGCAGCGACGCCGCGUGAGUGAAGAAGUCUUUCGGUAUGUAAAGCUCUAUCAGCCGGGAAGAAAAUGACGGUACCUGACUAAGAAGCCCCGGCUAACUACGUGCCAGCAGCCGCGGUAAUACGUCGGGGGCAAGCGUUAUCCGGAUUUACUGGGUGUAAAGGGAGCGUAGACGGCAGCACAAGUCUGGAGUGAAAUGCCGGGGCUUAAACCCGGAACUGCUGUGGAAACUGUGCAGCUAGAGGGCAGGAGAGGUAAGUGGAAUUCCUAGUGUAGCGGUGAAAUGCGUAGAUAAUAGGAGGAACACCAGGGGCGAAGGCGGCUUACUGGACUGUAACUGACGUUGAGGCACGAAAGCGUGGGGAGCAAACAGGAUUAGAUACCCGGGUAGUC
Molecule: ribosomal RNA, 440 nt
Filed under: uncultured bacterium
Lineage: Bacteria
Description: partial 16S ribosomal RNA
Rfam family: Bacterial small subunit ribosomal RNA
Source: RNAcentral